AGUGAACGCUGGCGGCGUGCUUAACACAUGCAAGUCGAACGGGAACGGAAUAUAGCUUGCUAUAUUUGUCAGCUAAGUGGCGCACGGGUGAGUAAUGUAUAGAUAACCUGCCCUUAAGAAAGGAAUAACAGUUGGAAACGACUGCUAAUGCCCUAUAUGCCUUUAAUACAUAAGUAUGCAAGGGAAACGCUUUAGUGCUUAAGGAUGGGUCUGUAUGGUAUCAGCUUGUUGGUGAGGUAAUGGCUCACCAAGGCUAUGACGCCUAACUGGUUUGAGAGGAUGAUCAGUCACACUGGAACUGAGACACGGUCCAGACUCCUACGGGAGGCAGCAGUGGGGAAUAUUGCACAAUGGACGAAAGUCUGAUGCAGCAACGCCGCGUGGAGGAUGACACAUUUCGGUGCGUAAACUCCUUUUAUAUAGGAAGAUAAUGACGGUACUAUAUGAAUAAGCACCGGCUAACUCCGUGCCGGCCGCCGCAGUAA
This 485-nucleotide ribosomal RNA is filed under the name uncultured bacterium. RNAcentral describes it as "partial 16S ribosomal RNA". It matches the Rfam family "Bacterial small subunit ribosomal RNA", at positions 29 to 523 of the family's 1533-position model. The record is from RNAcentral.